RNAcentral lists this long non-coding RNA (506 nucleotides) under Gallus gallus (chicken). The record is from RNAcentral. Lineage: Eukaryota; Metazoa; Chordata; Aves; Galliformes; Phasianidae.
GUCAUCUGUCUCUGGGUUUGACUUCAUCUCCAUAAGGUUGUCCAAAAUACGUGUGACUGGCAGAUUCUAUGAAACAAAACAUGAAAUUAAUGAAAUACUUAAUUGCUUACUAAGACUUAUUCAGAGAAUAAUCAACAGAACCAAAAAAGCACGUAUGCUUUUCUCCAAAAGCAUGUAUAGAAUUCAGAGUAACGCUGGCAGAUCACAGAAUCAUAGAAUGGUUUGGGUUGGAAGGGACCUGUAAGAUCAUCCAAUUCCAAUCCCUCUACUAUACCCAGGGACACCUCACACCAGACCAGGUUGCUCAAAGUCCCAUCCAGCCUGGCCUUGAAUGCCUCCAGGAAGGGGGCAGCCACAAUUUAAGAUGUAAUAGCAGACAGUGCAGACAUAACAAAGUGCCUGAGAUUCAUGUAAUGAACAGCUUUCUGUAAGCCAAACUAACCCUCUAUUCAGCCAAGAAGUCUUGCAUCUAGAGGUGUUUCCUAGUGGCCAAUACAAAUACCAGG